GGGAACAAUUUAACAAUAAGACAAUAACAUUUGUAGUUGUGCUCUAAAAGGCAGAAUAACGAAGAAAAUAACAUUGUUAUUUCUGAAAUAUCGGGAAGAUUUCCGCAGUGCUACAACAUAGAUGAUUUAAAAGAAGCUUUAUAUAAUGGUGUCGAUCUUGUAAGCGAAAAUAAUGCAAGAUAUCCACAAGGCAUAUGGGGUUUACCAACUAGAGUAAUUUCUAUAUUUAUGGAUCCCAGACAUAGAAUACUCCUAGAAACUGUGUAUGAAAGUAUAAUAGAUGCCGGCUACAAUCCUAAUGAGCUUAGAGUAUCUAAAAUUGGCACCCUUGUCGGAGAUGUAGUUGAAACUGAAGUAAUUACAAAACAUUUGUGAAAAAGAUCCGAACCAGUAUUGGUUGGAUCCGUAAAAUACAAUGUUGGACAUAGUGAAGUUAGUGCAGGAUUGACUGGGAUAAAAAAAGUAAUCUUGGCAAUGGAAACUGGUGUCAUAUCAGCAAAUUUGCACACAGAAACUUUAGAUGGCAAUAUUCCUGAAAUUAGAGAUGAAAAGAUGAAGGUAGUACGAAAAAUACAAAAUGGAAGGAGGUGUUGCAGUUAUGUUAUUGUAGUUAUGGUUUUGGGUAUAGGUACCAACGCGCAUAUAGUAUAGCAGUCAUAUUUCUAGCAUUAGUUGAUGAAAUUCAUAGAACAAAUGAUAAUGGUCAUCAUUAUAAAGGAAACUAAUGCGAAUAAUGAAUGUGCAAGAGCUGCAGUUAUACACUUCAAUGUAGCUGAUUCUGAACGAGUAGCAGAAAAAAAUUUUUAGGAGAAGGAUACGUUACUAAUUAAAAAUAUCUACCGUGGGGAAUAAUUAAUCACAAGGCUAUUGGAGUGAUUCUUUUAAUACAACUUAUACAAGGACAACAGUAAAGAUUAAAAAUGGUCAUUGCAAUGAAUGUUUCUUGCAGAAGUGUUUCCAGAAAUGUCGACAAUAAAGCACAGCAUGUAUAUAAUCAGAUCAACAUAGACCCCAUAGUCGUGUGUGGUCUAAGUAUACAAUUAUAUACUAUAUACAAACUUGCUCCAGCCGUUUUCUUUAAAUGCUAUUAUUUUUGCUCCUCUUCAUGUUGUACCUCUUUUCUCAAGUAUAGUACGUAUUACUCAGUCCCAUGUUGCUUCAGGUCUCUUUUUUUGUUCUCACCUACUUUUGCUUCCCAUACUCUCUUCACUGGUCUUGAAUCUUUCAUUCUUUUUAAAUGACCCCACCUACUGUUUUUGCUCAAAGAAUUCUGUAAGAGACAUAAAUUCCAGAUCUUGUCAUAUUUGGUAAUUUGUUAAUCUAUCCUUUUUUGUAAUACUCCUGAAAUACCUCCAAUAUUUUAUCUUUGCUACUUGCAAUGCAUUUUUUAUGUAAUAGUGAGAGUCCAUAUUUCGCAGCCGUGAUAUUGGUCUAUAAAUUGCUUUAUAAACAUUAGCUGUAAUAUGUGUUCUAGGCUUUUUCAAUUCUUUUGGUAAUUUCUACAUCUUCAUUGCCUGUGUUUUCUAUUUCUGUUCCAAGGUAUCCAAAUGGGCUCACCGUUUUAAUUCUAUGUCCCUCCAUUUGUAAGUUUAUUGUUUGAUUCUUUUUUACAUUUAUUCUCAUAUCAAUUUGCUUUAGUGUUUUGUUCUAAAUGUCAAAGUUUUUCUGUAUAUCUUGAUCUUGCAAUAAGGUCUACAUCACUAGCAUAAGCUCUUUCAGAUAUUUCCAGUAUUUGCAGGUUUUUGCAUCCAACGCGCAUUUUCUUUGAAUUGGAUAAGCAGAUAUUCAUUAUCUCAUCUAGAAAUAUGGUAAAAUAUUGUAUUACUCCUUCUGUGAUUAGAAAAGCCCCUGAAGUGGAUUUUUAUCAAUAACAUAGUUCACAUCGCUAUUACAUAAGCUCAUGAUUGCAUUUCGUCAAGUCAACAUCUAUUUUCGUUUUAAAAUCUCAAUUUUACUAUUGUGUUGAAACCAGUAGAACUAAAGUUGAACACUAUGGAAUUAUUGAAUCGCAAACAUUUUUUUGCGGUGAUUUUACAUUGAGUGGAUUCAACCAACAGCAGCUUGCCGAUCAACUUGCUUCGACUUUUGGACAUGAAGCACCAUCUUAAGCGACCGGGUUUUCCGAUUUCAAUUGUGGUCGAGCUUCGCUACAGGAUGAAAUUCAGUGCAGGUCGUCCAAAAUCAGCUGUGUACCAUAAAACAUCGAUACUGUGCGUAAAGUGAUAUUGCAAGAUCGUCAUGUGGCAUACAGGGAGAUUGAGGCAUACUUGGGCAUUAGUUCCACUUCCAAACAUUCAAUAUUGCAUAGCUAUCAAAAGAUUUGUUCGUGUUGAAUAGGGCAUAAUUUGGCAAUCGCUCAAAUAAAGUCUCGUGUCGAUUGGAGCAAAUUGCCACCGCUCCAUUAGAGCCACGUAGAACGGUCAAUUCUAAAUGGUACACCAGCAUUUUUAUGCUGGAAGUGUUUGAAAAAAUAAGGAAGACCAAUCGGAGAAGACGAAUCAUUCUCUAUGACACAUCAGCUCAAACAAAAACAGUCAAAACAUCGAGUUGAUAGGUUAUCCGCCGUACAGUUUUUGUUUGUCAUCCAAUUAUUUACUUCUUAUUUCCACAUAUUUAAAAUAAAUUGUGAAAUCAACGUUUUUCUACGCCUCCAGAAGCUGUUGAUGUGUUCAAAUCACCUGUUAUGUAGGUACCUCAUUCGGAAUGAGAAAAAUGCUUCGUCAAUUGAUUCAACUGUUGCAAAAGUGGAAAAUACUUUGAAAAAUAAUAAAGCCAUAUUCAAUUAUAAA
Long non-coding RNA from Diorhabda carinulata, 2789 nucleotides. RefSeq lists it as uncharacterized. Lineage: Eukaryota; Metazoa; Arthropoda; Insecta; Coleoptera; Chrysomelidae. The record is from RefSeq and is a predicted model, not a curated record. The transcript is spliced from 5 exons.